CCUACGGGUGGCAGCAGUGAGGAAUAUUGGUCAAUGGACGAGCGUCUGAACCAGCCAAGUAGCGUGAAGGAUGAAUGCCCUAUGGGUUGUAAACUUCUUUUAUAAAGGAAUAAAACGAGGCACGUGUGCCUUUUUGCAUGUACUUUAUGAAUAAGGAUCGGCUAACUCCGGUCCAGCAGCAGCGGUAAUACGGAGGAUCCGAGCGUUAUCCGGAUUUAUUGGGUUUAAAGGGAGCGUAGAUGGGUUGUUAAGUCAGUUGUGAAAGUUUGCGGCUCAACCGUAAAAUUGCAAUUGAUACUGGCAGUCUUGAGUACAGUUGAGGUAGGCGGAAUUCGUGGUGUAGCGGUGAAAUGCUUAGAUAUCACGAAGAACCCCGAUUGCGAAGGCAGCUUACUAAACUGUGACUGACAUUGAUGCUCGAAAGUGUGGGUAGCAAACAGGAUUAGAUACCCUUGUAGUC
RNAcentral lists this ribosomal RNA (460 nucleotides) under uncultured bacterium. RNAcentral's name for it is "partial 16S ribosomal RNA". It matches the Rfam family "Bacterial small subunit ribosomal RNA", at positions 338 to 795 of the family's 1533-position model. The record is from RNAcentral.